This 782-nucleotide ribosomal RNA is filed under the name uncultured Bacillota bacterium. RNAcentral's name for it is "bacterial SSU rRNA". It matches the Rfam family "Bacterial small subunit ribosomal RNA", at positions 1 to 799 of the family's 1533-position model. The record is from RNAcentral. Lineage: Bacteria; Bacillati; Bacillota.
AGGAGAGUUUGAUCCUGGCUCAGAUUGAACGCUGGCGGCAGGCCUAAUACAUGCAAGUCGAACGGUAACAUGGAAGUAGCAAUACUUUUGAUGACGAGUGGCGGACGGGUGAGUAAUAUUUGGGAAUCUACCUAUCAGAGGGGGAUAACACUUAGAAAUAGGUGCUAAUACCGCAUAAGCGCACACUGAGGCAUCUCAGCGUGUGAAAAACUCCGGUGGUACGGGAUGACCCCGCGUCUGAUUAGCCAGUUGGCAGGGUAACGGCCUACCAAAGCGACGAUCAGUAGCCGGCCUGAGAGGGUGAACGGCCACAUUGGGACUGAGACACGGCCCAAACUCCUACGGGAGGCAGCAGUGGGGAAUAUUGCACAAUGGGCGAAAGCCUGAUGCAGCGACGCCGCGUGAGUGAAGAAGUAUCUCGGUAUGUAAAGCUCUAUCAGCAGGGAAGCAAAUGACGGUACCUGACUAAGAAGCCCCGGCUAACUACGUGCCAGCAGCCGCGGUAAUACGUAGGGGGCAAGCGUUAUCCGGAUUUACUGGGUGUAAAGGGUGCGUAGACGGUGUGGCAAGUCUGAAGUGAAAGGCAUGAGCUCAACUCAUGGACUGCUUUGGAAACUGUCAUACUUGAGUGCAGGAGGGGUAAGCGGAAUUCCCAGUGUAGCGGUGAAAUGCUUAGAUAUUGGGAGGAACACCGGCGGCGAAGGCGGCUUACUGGACUGCAACUGACGUUGAGGCACGAAAGCGUGGGGAGCAAACAGGAUUAGAUACCCUGGUAGUCCCCU